UGCACGUGAAUAAUGGGUAGAAAGAUCGUCCAUCGGAGAUCCAAAUUUGUUCUCCACAAAAUCAGUGAGAUUUCUAAUGAAGAUCUGUGGGGAUAUCUAGUAAAUUUCUACUAGAUGUAUAACAAGUGGACAUUUGAAUCUCUAAUAGAACUCUAACGUACUUAUCAUUUUGCUUGAAAUGGAUGUCUGAUAGAUAUAUUGCUUAUCCGUCAUGGAUGUCCAUGGUACAUCGAUUAAAGAUAUUCAAGACAAGGACUAAUCUAGUCGGAAGAGACGUGCCAAAUACAAUCACACUCGAACUUCGCUUACAGAUUCACAGAUCGAUGUUUUGCAAUGGUCAAUCACUACUUCGCAAUUAUCACCUUGAGCAUGGAAUUUGGGAAUAUUGUCAUAAUUACAAUGGAUCACAGUAUACCUUCAGAAGAGGCUUUUAUUAUAUUCGAAAUUGAAACAACUUACUUGUCGAUUCAUCGAGUGAAAUAAAAACCUGUUUCAGGUAAUACAAAACCGUAGCCUUCGGCACAUACCACAACGCACCGAAUCCCUUCCUGCAGAACAGAGCAAUCGCUGUGCCCAUUUGUUGGAGAUGGAACGUUUUCACAUGCAUCUAAAUUGUAAUUUGCGCAAAAAUGGUGUGUGACUUUUACUAAUCUCCAGAGGAUGUCCAGAGUUGUCAUAAAAUACAGGCUCGUCCCAAGUAAUAUUUAUUGCCAUCGACUUGUUCUCAAGUAGAAAAAUAGGAGGAUCAACGCAGUUUUCAACAGUGGGUGGUUCCUUGUCUGUAAAAUAUUUGAUUAUGCAUUUGAACAGAAAACAAAAUGCAUUAUUUGUUAAUGUUAGAACAAUAUACCAGAUUUUUACCUAUAA
Long non-coding RNA from Neodiprion virginianus, 867 nucleotides. RefSeq lists it as uncharacterized. The transcript is spliced from 5 exons. Lineage: Eukaryota; Metazoa; Arthropoda; Insecta; Hymenoptera; Diprionidae. The record is from RefSeq and is a predicted model, not a curated record.